RNAcentral lists this ribosomal RNA (402 nucleotides) under bacterium. Its description in RNAcentral is "partial 16S ribosomal RNA". It matches the Rfam family "Bacterial small subunit ribosomal RNA", at positions 355 to 776 of the family's 1533-position model. The record is from RNAcentral.
UGGGGAAUUUUGCACAAUGGGGGAAACCCUGAUGCAGCGACGCCGCGUGAUUUAGAAGGCCUUCGGGUUGUAAAAAUCUUUUCUAUGGGAAGAAAAUAACAGUACCAUAGGAAUAAGGACCGGCUAAUUACGUGCCAGCAGCCGCGGUAAUACGUAAGGUCCGAGCGUUGUCCGGAAUCAUUGGGCGUAAAGGGUACGUAGGCGGGUAAGCAAGUUAGAAGUGAAAUCCUAUAGCUCAACUAUAGUAAGCUUUUAAAACUGCUCAUCUUGAGGUAUGGAAGGGAGAGUGGAAUUCCUAGUGUAGCGGUGAAAUGCGCAGAUAUUAGGAGGAAUACCGGUGGCGAAGGCGACUUUCUGGCCAUAACCUGACGCUGAGGUACGAAAGCGUGGGUAGCAAACAGG